This 85-nucleotide ribosomal RNA is filed under the name Croceivirga sp. JEA036. Lineage: Bacteria; Pseudomonadati; Bacteroidota; Flavobacteriia; Flavobacteriales; Flavobacteriaceae. The record is from RNAcentral.
CCCUUCCCAUUCCGAACAGGGUAGUUAAGCCCGAUAGCGCCGAUGGUACUGCCACACCAGGUGGGAGAGUAGGUCGCCGCCUCCU